Molecule: ribosomal RNA, 208 nt
Filed under: uncultured Enterobacteriaceae bacterium
Lineage: Bacteria; Pseudomonadati; Pseudomonadota; Gammaproteobacteria; Enterobacterales; Enterobacteriaceae
Description: partial 16S ribosomal RNA
Rfam family: Bacterial small subunit ribosomal RNA
Source: RNAcentral
GCGCGCGGCGGGCCUACGGGAGGCAGCAGUGGGGAAUAUUGCACAAUGGGCGCAAGCCUGAUGCAGCCAUGGCCGCGUGUAUGAAGAAGGCCUUCGGGUUGUAAAGUACUUUCAGCGGGGAGGAAGGGAGUAAAGUUAAUACCUUUGCUCAUUGACGUUACCCGCAGAAGAAGCACCGGCUAACUCCGUGCCAGCAGCCGCGGUAAUA